This is a long non-coding RNA of Neocloeon triangulifer, 414 nucleotides long. RefSeq lists it as uncharacterized. The record is from RefSeq and is a predicted model, not a curated record. The transcript is spliced from 2 exons. Lineage: Eukaryota; Metazoa; Arthropoda; Insecta; Ephemeroptera; Baetidae.
CGACUUGCGGAAACUAUUAAGGUGACCAGGCCUAGCCUUCCACUUGGUAACAUCUACCAUGACAAGCUUGCGUACUUUGUUGUUUCUUGCGGCCGUUUGUGUCUCUGCGGCGGAGGUCGGCAGGGAAAAGAGAGGUCUCGCUUUGCACCCCCUUUUCGCCAACUACCCUUUACCCCUGACUGCCUAUUCACCCUUUGCACCCUUCCCCUAUUCAUAUCACCCUCGACCUGCCUACCACCAACCCCUCCCUUUCGCUCCUGUGCCCGUCCCGCAGCCCUACACAAUUAGUCCUGGACUGGAAGGAAUCACCAAAGCUAUAUAUUAAAAUUUGUGGAAAAAAUUACGUCAUCACAAAUAGAAUUCCAAAUUAUGUGUUCAUUUUAUCGUGAUUAAAAAUUGAGAUUGUUAAAAAAA